Molecule: long non-coding RNA, 977 nt
Organism: Lingula anatina
Lineage: Eukaryota; Metazoa; Brachiopoda; Lingulata; Lingulida; Lingulidae
Source: RefSeq, a predicted model, not a curated record
CGAGAUGUAAACAAACACAUGAGUGAAGAGAGACCAUGCAUGUUAAGAGAACCUUAACAGGUUUGAAAUGGUAUGUGUAUGGCAAAUAUGUGUAUGCUAUACUUUGCUCAGUUGAGGCUGACGUCCACUCCCAAGUUCAUCCCUAAUCCCAAAUUUAGCAGUGUUCAAAAAUCUGGUUCAGAUGUAACCAUGUCUAGGUAUAAUAAGAAGCAACGGCUGGAAGCAAUGGUUCUUAUGUUCAGGCUUUGACCAGUAGCCCUAAACCACAAAAGAGGAGAGCUGAUAAAGAGGCAAAAAAGCUGAAAAUGUGAGAAGAUGAGGAUGUGUUGGAAGCACAAUACUGUACAUUGUUGCUAACUACAAAAUAUGGGAUGUGUUGGAAGCAGAAGUUGUAGAUAAAAGAGAAAAAAAGCUGAAUGGCAAUGUAAUGGAGAAGGAAGGGGUUGUUAGAGCUAUGGAUGUCCUGAAAAACAAAGGAAUCAAUGUAACAGAAGUUCUCACAGAUGCCCAAGUUGCACACUUAGGCAAUACAUGCCAUUUAGGUCUUACUAUUAUAAUUAGAAAGCAAAUUCAUAAUGUGAAAUGUGAAUACAGUACAUGUCAUGUAUGUGAUUAUUAAGUUACAAAUUUUUGAUAUAUAUCCAUUUAAUUUUAUGUAAACUCAAUAUUCCAGGAAAAAAUUGAACUGGGAUAAAACAUUUAUGGGUUAUUUAGCAUGGGGCAAAAAAUCUUGGAAAGAAGAAUCUGAUAUCACUGUGAGUAGAUAUGCAUCGAUCUAGCAUGAUCGACCCAUCUCCGAGGGGAUUCUGCCUAAGUUGCAUUCAGAUAAAGGACAUAAAGUGACCUAGAUGUCUGGCAUGUCUACUGAAACAACUAAAUGAUUGUUAAUUACUUCCUAACAGCUUUGGUAGGGGUGCCAGACAUCAGAGCCACUUAAGCAGAGAUAGGUUGAUCCUGCUAGAUUGGUCUAGGUAUGG